This 333-nucleotide unclassified non-coding RNA is filed under the name soil metagenome. RNAcentral's name for it is "partial contains 5.8S ribosomal RNA, internal transcribed spacer 2, and large subunit ribosomal RNA". The stretch from base 1 to 119 matches the Rfam family "5.8S ribosomal RNA", at positions 35 to 154 of the family's 154-position model. The record is from RNAcentral.
GAUGAAGAACGUAGUGAAAUGCGAUACGUAAUGUGAAUUGCAAAUUCAGUGAAUCAUCGAGUCUUUGAACGCACAUUGCGCCCGCCAGCACUCUGGCGGGCAUGCCUGUUCGAGCGUCAUUUCAACCAUCAAGCCCCAGGCUUGCGUUGGAGCCCUGCGGCUGCCGCAGCCUCCUAAAAGCAGUGGCGGGCUCGCUAUCACACCGAGUGCAGUAGAUUACUCUUCGCUCAGGGCGUGCAGCGGGUUCCGGCCGUGAAACCCCCUACUUUUAAAGGUUGACCUCGGAUCAGGUAGGAAUACCCGCUGAACUUAAGCAUAUCAAUAAGCGGAGGA